AAUUUCAAAAGGCUCCACCUCCAAAAACCAUCACACUGGCGGUGAGGAUUUCAACAUAUGCAUUGGGAGGGGAGGGAUGCACACAUUUAGUCCAUUGGCCCUUCUCACAAAAACUACAAUUUGCUUGAAUUAAUGCCAUACUCAAGGCCUAUGUCGCAAGGGAUCUGAGAAUACAGAGGAGGCAAGUCAACAAAAGAAGAGUCAGGGGAAGUAUCACAGAUGAAGAGGCAUCUGAGCUCAGUGUUAUGGAAUGAAGGAAAUCAACACUCAGAGAAAAGGGGAAAGCAUGAAUGCAGUCCCCCACUACCACAAAUCAUGCAGUCGAGUUUCGCACUUUUGGGGAAAUCACAGGGGUCAGCACACCCAGAGUGCAAUGGAUAAACCUCGCCCUGGGAAAACCACCUUCGUGAUCAUGUUAUCUCCCCUGCCAGAAAAUGUUCCCAAUCUCUGGGCCACACUAUUGAAUGAGAAGAGACCAGGUGGAGAGAGAGGCUCAGCCAGACAUCAGCCAUUACAGCUUCACACUAGCUAGACGUGCGAAUAAAGCCCCCUUGGAUGGUCCAGCCACAGCCAAGCUCUCAGCUAAAUGCAGCCACCUAAGCGACUCCUGACAAUACAAUGUAGAGCAGAGACAAGCCAUCUCAUUGAACCCCAUCAAAACUGCAGGCUCAUGAUCAAAUAAAUGGUUGUGUUUAAGUCACUAAGUUGGGAGUGUUUUAAACUCAGCAAUAGAUGACGGGAAUAACUUCCGUGGCAGAGGCCCCAGGAUAGGAGCUCCCAGGCAUGGAACCAAAAGGGAGAAGGGCUUUUUAUAGGGGUGACAGCAAAGGAAGAGUUGGGAUAAAAGGCAAGGGCAAGAAUAUACAGUAGCCAAGACCCAAAAAGGUAUUUAGAUGAGAACGUUGCUCCUCGUGUUAACAAGGAACUCUCCUAGUAUGUAUAUUGAAAGUAGGGUUGUAUCAGAGAGUAGAUGGCUGCAGUGAAAAGGACAAAAGCCCCAAAACAAAUCCCAGGAAACAUCCAGGUUCUGCCUCAAAUUAGCUUUGGUAAGAUACUUAUACUCUUAGCUGUUCCGUGUCCUCAUCUAUAAAACAGGGACAAUACAACCUACCUCCCAGAUUUAAAAAUAUUAGACAUAAAAGUAUGCAGUCCUUAGCAUAGCACUGGACAAAUGGUAGGCAUACCACCUUGUCUGUGUUUCAGUCUUUCCAAAAGAUGUAAUGCCUAUCCUAUUUGAAAGGCUUAUUCAUAAGUUCAAAUUUGCUAGGCGCCGUGGCUCACGCCUUUAAUCUCCACAUGUUGGGAGGCCAAAGAGGAAGGCUCAAUUGAGCCCAGGAGUUCAGAUUCAAUAAAACACACAAAAAUGGUUUGAAAGGUAUUAAGCCCUACCAAAUAAUACGAUUGCAAUAUAUUAAAAUACAAUUUUUAUUGUUGGGGGCUGCAUGGCAACUUUGUAAAACUUAAGUAUAUCUGCAUAAUUGUUUUUAUAUAGUUACUGUUAAAGUUACCAGCAUCAGUUGUUUAUUCUAGUUAUUCAUCUCCAUCUUCAGAAAGGAAGGUCAGCACAGGAU
RNAcentral lists this long non-coding RNA (1571 nucleotides) under Homo sapiens (human). RNAcentral's name for it is "HSALNT0368719". Lineage: Eukaryota; Metazoa; Chordata; Mammalia; Primates; Hominidae. The record is from RNAcentral.